GUUUGCCUACGGGGCGCAGCAGUAGGGAAUCUUCCACAAUGGACGAAAGUCUGAUGGAGCAACGCCGCGUGAGUGAAGAAGGGUUUCGGCUCGUAAAGCUCUGUUGGUAGGGAAGAAAGAUAGAGGUAGUAACUGGCCUUUAUUUGACGGGAAUUACUUAGAAAGUCACGGCUAACUACGUGCCAGCAGCCGCGGGAAUACGUAGGUGGCAAGCGUUGUCCGGAUUUAUUGGGCGUAAA
RNAcentral lists this ribosomal RNA (239 nucleotides) under uncultured bacterium. RNAcentral's name for it is "partial 16S ribosomal RNA". It matches the Rfam family "Bacterial small subunit ribosomal RNA", at positions 333 to 564 of the family's 1533-position model. The record is from RNAcentral.